GGCUCGCUAGCAUAAUGGUAGUGCAUCCGACUCCAGAUCGGAAGGUUACAGGUUCGAUUCCUGUGCGGGUCA
RNAcentral lists this transfer RNA (72 nucleotides) under Tetradesmus obliquus. RNAcentral's name for it is "Scenedesmus obliquus tRNA". It matches the Rfam family "tRNA". Rfam says of the family: Transfer RNA (tRNA) molecules are approximately 80 nucleotides in length. Their secondary structure includes four short double-helical elements and three loops (D, anti-codon, and T loops). Further hydrogen bonds mediate the characteristic L-shaped molecular structure. tRNAs have two regions of fundamental functional importance: the anti-codon, which is responsible for specific mRNA codon recognition, and the 3' end, to which the tRNAs corresponding amino acid is attached (by aminoacyl-tRNA synthetases). tRNAs cope with the degeneracy of the genetic code in two manners: having more than one tRNA (with a specific anti-codon) for a particular amino acid; and 'wobble' base-pairing, i.e. permitting non-standard base-pairing at the 3rd anti-codon position. The record is from Rfam by way of RNAcentral. RNAcentral also lists the same sequence under 1 other name. Lineage: Eukaryota; Viridiplantae; Chlorophyta; Chlorophyceae; Sphaeropleales; Scenedesmaceae.